GUAGAGAGAAGCUUGCUUCUCUUGAGAGCGGCGGACGGGUGAGUAAUGCCUAGGAAUCUGCCUGGUAGUGGGGGAUAACGUUCGGAAACGGACGCUAAUACCGCAUACGUCCUACGGGAGAAAGCAGGGGACCUUCGGGCCUUGCGCUAUCAGAUGAGCCUAGGUCGGAUUAGCUAGUUGGUGAGGUAAUGGCUCACCAAGGCGACGAUCCGUAACUGGUCUGAGAGGAUGAUCAGUCACACUGGAACUGAGACACGGUCCAGACUCCUACGGGAGGCAGCAGUGGGGAAUAUUGGACAAUGGGCGAAAGCCUGAUCCAGCCAUGCCGCGUGUGUGAAGAAGGUCUUCGGAUUGUAAAGCACUUUAAGUUGGGAGGAAGGGCCAUUACCUAAUACGUGAUGGUUUUGACGUUACCGACAGAAUAAGCACCGGCUAACUCUGUGCCAGCAGCCGCGGUAAUACAGAGGGUGCAAGCGUUAAU
This 481-nucleotide ribosomal RNA is filed under the name Pseudomonas sp. 11M9. Its description in RNAcentral is "bacterial SSU rRNA". It matches the Rfam family "Bacterial small subunit ribosomal RNA", at positions 68 to 543 of the family's 1533-position model. The record is from RNAcentral. Lineage: Bacteria; Pseudomonadati; Pseudomonadota; Gammaproteobacteria; Pseudomonadales; Pseudomonadaceae. RNAcentral also lists the same sequence under 1 other name.